RNAcentral lists this ribosomal RNA (497 nucleotides) under uncultured bacterium. Its description in RNAcentral is "partial 16S ribosomal RNA". It matches the Rfam family "Bacterial small subunit ribosomal RNA", at positions 28 to 507 of the family's 1533-position model. The record is from RNAcentral.
GAUGAACGCUGGCGGCGUGCCUAAUACAUGCAAGUCGAGCGAACAGACGAGGAGCUUGCUCCUCUGACGUUAGCGGCGGACGGGUGAGUAACACGUGGAUAACCUACCUAUAAGACUGGGAUAACUUCGGGCAACCGGAGCUAAUACCGGAUAAUAUAUUGAACCGCAUGGUUCAAUAGUGAAAGACGGUUUUGCUGUCACUUAUAGAUUGAUCCGCGCCGCAUUAGCUAGUUGGUAAGGUAACGGCUUACCAAGGCAACGAUGCGUAGCCGAACUGAGAGGGUGAUCGGCCACACUGGAACUGAGACACGGUCCAGACUCCUACGGGAGGCAGCAGUAGGGAAUCUUCCGCAAUGGGCGAAAGCCUGACGGAGCAACGCCGCGUGAGUGAUGAAGGUCUUCGGAUCGUAAAACUCUGUUAUUAGGGAAGAACAAAUGUGUAAGUAACUAUGCACGUCUUGACGGUACCUAAUCAGAAAGCCACGGCUAACUACGUG